UUGUUCUUCUCGUCCAGCAGGAGGUUUUCAGGUAGUCGAAGAGCUCACCACCUGACACGUGUUCUAGCACCAGAGCCUGAUGCCUCAGAGAUGCCCGGCUAGGAUCACCUGGCAGGUCACGCCGCCGCCCUGGGACCAGCGAGGGUCAGAUGAGGCUCAAGGCCAGACAGCCCUUGGGCAGCAGCGCCUCAUCUGUCAGAAAGCCCCAUCAGAGCA
RNAcentral lists this long non-coding RNA (216 nucleotides) under Homo sapiens (human). Its description in RNAcentral is "HSALNT0171000". Lineage: Eukaryota; Metazoa; Chordata; Mammalia; Primates; Hominidae. The record is from RNAcentral.